Molecule: long non-coding RNA, 1994 nt
Filed under: Homo sapiens (human)
Lineage: Eukaryota; Metazoa; Chordata; Mammalia; Primates; Hominidae
Description: HSALNT0208170
Source: RNAcentral
ACUCCUGGUGCUCGCGUAGACUAGACCAGUGCGAUGGGCGGAGCCAACGAGGAGGCACAAUUUACAUCCUUGGCCGUCCCUACUCGGAUUUGCUGAAGGAGUCACGUCGGUCGUUAAGGUUAAGCUUUGUAGAGAACAGCGGCGUUUGUUUAACGUCCGGGGAUGCUGAACUCGAAAUCCCCGUUCUGAGCCGGCUACCUAAACAACCUUCCCGACCACCUCUCCUGACCUCGGUGCUUGGGACCAGGGAAAAGCAGAUCUUGCCACAGACUUGUCUUGGCCCACACUCUGCCCUAUCGUCAUGGCCUGCUCCCACAGGUCAUAACUUCCGUUCAAAUCAGUACCCCCACAUUUCCCACUGCAAGGGUAAAUUUGAAAGUUUCUCAGGUGACUCCUUGGAUGUAGCAGUACUGAGUCCUCUAACCGGAAAGAAGGAACUGAUGUCCACCCUCACUUUCCAGGGGCCUCCAGGAGCCCCUAGACACUUCUGUGGUCUACUGUAGCUACCAAAAAUGUAGCUGGUUAUAACAUGGGGAGAGCCAGAGUCGGAGGACCUGACUUCCAAUUCUGACUUGGAUACUAAUAUCACAUCAUUGUACCCAUUUCAAACUCCCCCUCUGUAAAAUGGAAAAUUGGACUAGAUGAUCUCUUAGGACUUCAAACUGUAACCCUGUGGUUUUAUUCAAAAAAAACAGGUAGCUUCUUGCUGGAGAUUCCUGGAUGGAUUCCAGUCUUCCCAAGAGGUAACAAAGGAGAGGUAACCAGUUGCCCGUGCAGUAGCUCAAGAAUACAGAAGAGAAACUGGCUUCACUCACUAUUCCAUCUUUUUCCAAGGUGGCAAACUCUAUGCCUCCUCCCCAGAGAAAAGCCUAACUGUAGGUUCUAAUGGACAAGAGCUCACUGUAGCUGGUCAGAAAGGCCUAUAUCCAGGACUACAAUAGUCAUUGCUCAGCUUCCUAAGUAGGGAAUACAACUAGGCCCCUUUGGGUCUUGGAUAGGCUAAGAGGACAGAUCUGAACAUGCCUGGGUCUAAGUGAGGUGUGGGAAAAUAGUGGCAGGGGGCAGCAUGGUCGUGCAGUAAAGGGCUAUAACUUUAUUUGUAUUUCCUCUUACACAAAACCAUCAAAACAAGAACAGAAAAAGGCUGAAAAUCCGUUCAAACCCCAUGUUCUCAGGGAUAUUCCAGGGAGUUCUUGAGGCUGAGUGCGUAGCUUCAAAUCCAGCACUAAUUCCUCACCCCCUGGCCUGAGGUCUUCAUAGAUUGGUGGCUUGAGCCCUGCAAUUAAUUAUAAUCCCUUGCCCACCUUGAUGUAAGGCAGGAAAGCAGAUUGAAAUGCUCCUCUCUGAUGGGCAAGGGGAAUCACAGCCCAUAGAUGUACUGCACCUUCUGUACUACAGGAGCAGAACCUGAAGCUGCUUCCAAGGCUCUGGACACUUGGCACGCAGGGCUAGAGGCCAAUGGUAUAUGAGCGGCCUGUGGGGUUAUGAAUAGCAGAACAGACUGGUGCUGUCACAGCCCACUCAUACCACACCUUCUUGGAAUUGCUGCAUCGCCAGAAACGCACACAGAUGGUUUGGCCUUCACGUACCGUUAUGGGCUGCUGUAAGAAGAAAGACAGGAAGGUUCAGGGUGAAGCUAUGAAUUAUACAUGGCAAUGUAUUAAGGCUCGGACCUCAUUGUACAGCUUGGAGGAAGAGAUGGGAGCCAGAAAGGAAGUGUACUCCCCGGGGAUGCUCACACCAUCAUCUGCACAGCAGGAGAGUCAAAUUAGUUCCAGAGGGAGGGAAAUGGUAUGUCUGUACUAACUGAAGGAUCAGAAGGAUCAAACCUCCCAUGUCAAAACCAACCAACGUUGGCAUGGGCAUGGAAGAAAGAGACAAAUGCAUGUUGUCACAUUACUAAGCCAGCCUGCUUCCAACUACUGUCAUGGAGGAUUCCACUACUAGGUUAAUUUACAGAGUCACACAGAUUAAAACUGAAAGAACCCAAGAUA